AGUGAACGCUGGCGGUAGGCCUAACACAUGCAAGUCGAACGGCAGCACAGUAAGCGCUUGCUCUUACGGGUGGCGAGUGGCGGACGGGUGAGGAAUACAUCGGAAUCUACUUUUUCGUGGGGGAUAACGUAGGGAAACUUACGCUAAUACCGCAUACGACCUACGGGUGAAAGCAGGGGAUCUUCGGACCUUGCGCGAUUGAAUGAGCUGAUGUCGGAUUAGCUAGUUGGCGGGGUAAAGGCCCACCAAGGCAACGAUCCGUAGCUGGUCUGAGAGGAUGAUCAGCCACACUGGAACUGAGACACGGUCCAGACUCCUACGGGAGGCAGCAGUGGGGAAUAUUGGACAAUGGGCGAAAGCCUGAUCCAGCCAUGCCGCGUGAGUGAAGAAGGCCUUCGGGUUGUAAAGCCCUUUUGUUGGGAAAGAAAAGCAGCAGGUUAAUACCCCGCUGUUCUGACGGUACCCAAAGAAUAAGCACCGGCUAACUUCGUG
Molecule: ribosomal RNA, 492 nt
Filed under: uncultured bacterium
Lineage: Bacteria
Description: partial 16S ribosomal RNA
Rfam family: Bacterial small subunit ribosomal RNA
Source: RNAcentral